This 253-nucleotide ribosomal RNA is filed under the name uncultured bacterium. RNAcentral's name for it is "partial 16S ribosomal RNA". It matches the Rfam family "Bacterial small subunit ribosomal RNA", at positions 524 to 776 of the family's 1533-position model. The record is from RNAcentral.
UACGUAGGGUGCAAGCGUUAAUCGGAAUUACUGGGCGUAAAGCGUGCGUAGGUGGUUCGUUAAGUCUGAUGUGAAAGCCCUGGGCUCAACCUGGGAAUGGCAUUGGAAACUGGCGACCUAGAGUGCGGUAGAGGGUAGUGGAAUUCCCGGUGUAGCAGUGAAAUGCGUAGAGAUCGGGAGGAACAUCCGUGGCGAAGGCGACUACCUGGACCAGCACUGACACUGGGGCACGAAAGCGUGGGGAGCAAACAGG